RNAcentral lists this ribosomal RNA (375 nucleotides) under uncultured organism. Its description in RNAcentral is "bacterial SSU rRNA". It matches the Rfam family "Archaeal small subunit ribosomal RNA", at positions 476 to 851 of the family's 1478-position model. The record is from RNAcentral.
CCAGCACCCCGAGUGGUCGGGACGAUUAUUGGGCCUAAAGCAUCCGUAGCCGGUUUUACAAGUCCUCCGUUAAAUCCAACUGCUUAACAGAUGGGCCGCGGAGGAUACUAUAAGACUAGGAGGCAGGAGAGGCAAGCGGUACUCAGUGGGUAGGGGUAAAAUCCGUUGAUCCAUUGAAGACCACCAGUGGCGAAGGCGGCUUGCCAGAAUGCGCUCGACGGUGAGGGAUGAAAGCUGGGGGAGCAAACCGGAUUAGAUACCCGGGUAGUCCCAGCUGUAAACGAUGCAGACUCGGUGAUGGACCAGCUUCAUGCUAGUCCAGUGCCGCAGGGAAGCCGUUAAGUCUGCCGCCUGGGUAGUACGGUCGCAAGACUG